Molecule: non-coding RNA, 335 nt
Organism: Paramuricea clavata
Lineage: Eukaryota; Metazoa; Cnidaria; Anthozoa; Malacalcyonacea; Plexauridae
Source: the annotation of a GenBank genome assembly
AAUAUGUGCCCCCUCAAUUAUCAUUCUGGCUACGGCACUGCUGCAAUUGUUAUGCCGAUCAUAACUAAUUAAUUAGAUACCAAAUAAUUAUAUUUCUUUUUUCUUUUUUUUACAAAUUUAGGGAAAUCAUGGUGCAUGAGAUAACUGUUCAUACAAUAAUUGUACAAUACAAUACCAUGGAUUGACAGGGUGACAGGUGUAACAAAUAUGACUUACAUAAAUUGGUUAUCAUUCCAUGUUUCACACACCAAUAUGGGUUAGGUAUUAGGGUUAAGGUUGGGGUUAGGGUGUGUAUAUAUGUGUAUGGAGGUAUCUAGUGAACUUUUCAAUACACU